UGACCUACGGGACGCAGCAGUGGGGAAUAUUGCACAAUGGGGGAAACCCUGAUGCAGCGACGCCGCGUGAGCGAUGAAGUAUUUCGGUAUGUAAAGCUCUAUCAGCAGGGAAGAAAAUGACGGUACCUGACUAAGAAGCCCCGGCUAACUACGUGCCAGCAGCCGCGGUAAUACGUAGGGGGCAAGCGUUAUCCGGAUUUACUGGGUGUAAAGGGCGCGUAGGCGGUAAUAUAAGUCAGAUGUGAAAGGUGGGGGCUCAACCCCUAGAGUGCAACUGAUACUGUAUAACUUGAGUGUGAGAGAGG
RNAcentral lists this ribosomal RNA (305 nucleotides) under uncultured bacterium. Its description in RNAcentral is "bacterial SSU rRNA". It matches the Rfam family "Bacterial small subunit ribosomal RNA", at positions 335 to 657 of the family's 1533-position model. The record is from RNAcentral.